GCUCGUAUCCAUCUAACGUCUCUGCUUUAGAUUGGGAACCUGUGUUUUCCCUUUCCCCCUUUCUGGUAAACUCAUCUCCUCUCCUAUGGCUUUGGUAGCUCAACUGAUCCUUUGUUCCUACUUUUCUUCUUCGUAUUCGCUCCAUUUACCCAAUCUAUCCAGGUAUAAUACCUUUGAACAUCAAGAACACUCAUUAGAUUUAUCCUCGGUUUUCAUUUCUCCGAUCAAGGCGUUUUGUCAGCCUCCGCCUCUACUCCUCUGUCUUGAAUCCGGCAUCAAUACCUUACAUCUGGUUUCCCUCUAUCUCAAACUCUUCUUUCUCAUACUUUCGUUGAUUUAGGGUUCCUCAUUUCACAAGUUUUGAGAAACUCAACCAUCGCAAUUCUUCAAAACACAUGGAAUUCGCAGAAACCCUAAAUUAGCCCCUUCAUCAAUAUCCCAUCUUCUUCCUAAACCCUAAUAACCAGGUUUUCAAUUCAUCAGGCUUCUCUGCAUACGAAAAGCGAGACAGAAAGAGGAUUGAAGCUGAUAUAAUUGGAGCUUGUUAUUUUGUCAAGUUUAUACGAAAUUGAAGGUUUACUCUUCAAAAUCUGAUUACAAUCCCUGAACCUACUAUCCCCCUAUCCAUUCUGCACGACCAGACCAGGGGAAGAAGGCCUUAGAUAUGUAUGCAAUGCUGCUGCAAGAAAAUUUGACGGGAAGGAGCUGGAGUUGGUUAUUGUCAUUCUACCGGACAAUAAUAGUUCCUUAUAUGCUUAAUCUUCUGGAGUGCGAUUUUGAGGAGGAGGAGGUUGGGUAGGGAUGGAGGGAAUCUGGUAGAGUGAUGGUGGGAGGAAAAAUAUGCGAAGUUACUCCCAAACUCCAUCAUCGCUUCUCAAAUCCGAAAGAAGACUCACAUCAAAGACCCCAAGCUAGACUUAUGAUCCUGGUGGUGAUGCGGGAUGUGACUAUAUACAACAGAGGCAGCAACUUAAGUUGGCAGGCCAAUCUCUUCACUUGGACUGGUAGUUACAGUAGAUUUCUUGAAUUUGCUGCUUUAUAACCAGGGGUCUUUUUACAAUGGAAGCCGGUAUGACUUUUUCAACGUUAACGGAACUCUUCCGGAAGAGGUCGAGCCUUCAUUUAUCAACAAGAUAAAACCUGUUAAAGUCCGGCAAGCUGUUGGCUUACUUCUGAAAAAUAAUCUUAGAACUGCGCGCUUUCAAAACUAUGGCCCCAACUAAUCAGCAAUAUAUGAAUCAGAGUUGUUUCCUUGUCUUGUAUCACCUGAUAGGCACAUCCGUACAACUGUUGGGAUCACAAUUAGUGUUAUUAUGCAGCUUGUAGGAGUUAUUGGUUGACCUGAGACGUUGCAGGCUCUCUUAACUCAUUUAGACAUACUGAUCUUAGUCAGGUCAAAGUGGCUAUGGUUGCUUUAUCAAAGGAAAUCAUUCACAAUAUUUAAAGAGGAAACGGGCUAUCCCUGGUACAGCUUUGGCGGCGACACUUGCUUCCGCAACUAUAGUUUCAUAUUCUAUUCCCGAUGUAUGUUCACAAGGUGCCCGUUCUCACUGCAUACAGAAGACCAAAGAGAUGGGUACCUAGCAGGGAAUGAAGAGAGUUGGUAUAUGUAUGGUUUAUUUAACUGGAGAGGUGUGUAUUUAGUUAUUUUAUUAUUCAUAAAUCAAAUGUGCGCUAUCUCUAGCUUCAGAUUUCAACAUUUGGAUAUACCCUUAGACCUUUGAUGUGUAACCGAUUUACUGAACAUUAUAUUUGUUGAAUGAGUUCACGUGCACAUGUACAUAAUUACUGAA
Molecule: long non-coding RNA, 1793 nt
Organism: Spinacia oleracea (spinach)
Lineage: Eukaryota; Viridiplantae; Streptophyta; Magnoliopsida; Caryophyllales; Amaranthaceae
Exons: 6
Source: RefSeq, a predicted model, not a curated record